Long non-coding RNA from Alosa sapidissima (American shad), 473 nucleotides. RefSeq lists it as uncharacterized. NCBI's taxonomy places the organism in Eukaryota, Metazoa, Chordata, Actinopteri, Clupeiformes, Clupeidae. The transcript has 3 exons. The record is from RefSeq and is a predicted model, not a curated record.
AGGAAGGGAGUUCAUGCAGUGCAAGUCGUGCAAGUUUUCAAUUUCCUCCCAGGACGUUCUUCUGAAGCAUUGUAGGCUUCACCACGGUCACGGUUCACCAACUGAAUGUAGUGGGCCUGUCCCCAGUGCUCCUGCUCUGCCAUCCCGGGCCCCAGAGAAUCAAGGCUGUCUUGAUUACAGAAUUACAGCCAGUAAGGCCAAAAGAGGUGGAGGCCUUGAAGAAGGUGAAAGACCUCUACAAAUCACUUGUCCUUCUUGGGAGAGGAGAGGAGGAGGUGAGCAGGGAGGAAGAGGAAGGGCAAGAGGAAGAAGGAGAGGAGGUGGUUCGCAGAGAGGAAGAGGAAGGGCAAGAGGAAGAAGGAGAGGAGGUGGUUCGCAGAGAGGAAGAGGAAGGGCAAGAGGAAGAAGGAGAGGACGUGGCCGACAGGGAGGAAGGGGAAGAUGAAGAAAGAGAGGAUGGCCAAAAGGAUGCU